AGACAAAAGCGAACGAGAGGCGGAAAAAAGGAAGACGCUUCCUGAAGUUGGGGAUGCUGGACUAGUUUUCAUACUAGAUCCCCUCGUGGCAGCAUUAAGGAACUUCACAUUCUUCUCACACUAUUCAUGGAAAGUUCCUGGAACUCCCACAGCAGCAAGAAAACUUCGCUUGUAGGAGUCCUUAGCACAUCUGUAAAGUUUUAUUGGCCAAAAUGUGAUACAUCUCCAUUUCUGGAUCAGUCACUGUGGUCAAGUGCAAGACGCUCUACAGGACUCAACCUGGGGAUGAGGUCUGUCUACUCCAUCCAUAUGGUCACUUUAUACUGAGGUUGGGGUUGCUGCUUUUUAAGAGAUGAAAAGAUCCAAGGUGUGACACAGAAUGGAUGACUGGAGUGGAAAAAAUGAAAAUGUCAUUGGAAUAUGGAAGUAAAGAAACUGAGAAGCUGAGAGUUUUUGCAUCAUCCAGUCAGGUAUGGAAAUCACCAAGGAUAAAGGAAGGAACUGGGUUAGAAUGGAAGACCUUUUGCCAGGAAUGGAAGACUUCAGUAAAUGAAGAGAUUUGACUAGGAUGUUGGCAGAAGAUAGUGAGAAGGUCUAAGAAAGGGUGGUAUAUCCAGAUGACAUAAACAUCAAAAGAACGGUGAUUUUUGCAGGAGGGAAGGGGUGAAAUAAUUUGAAAGUAGCAAUGGGAGAGAGCAAGGAAUGCACCUACCUCCAAUCCUGGCCCUGACAUUCUCUCAGGGACCAGAUAGGUUUCAACUAAGGUAAGGCAAGGAGAUGAUGGGAAAAUGAGGGAAAGGGGACUGGACUGCUGAACACAGAUGAGAGUCACAUGAAACACUAGAAGGGUUUAUUUAGGGAGGGGGAGAAGUGGAGAGAAUAACAGUUUGUGGAUUAUGAUUUUAUGAGAAAAAGAAGGACUUAGAGAGGCUGGAACUUCUGCAGAUUAGUGAGCUACACAGGGAUGUGAAGCAUGAUUGGCUUGAACCUGGUAGUCUCAUCUUGUCAUCCUCUUAGUGGUGUGUGCAGCCUAAGGCAUUAAAUUAUGGUGCAGCCUCUGGGCUAAUAGUUACUCUCUCAACAGUGGAGAGUUCUACAUAAUUUGCCAUAAUUAGAUACAUUACCUUAGAGAAAGUGCUAAACCCUUCAAAAUCCCAGUUGCUUAAUCUAUGCAAUGAGGAACUGAUCUAAAUUUCCUAAACUUCUUUAGACAUGUUAAGGAUCUGACAUUGAAAAAGUGAGGUUAUGCCACUGGUAAGUUUGCAGUAUUAAAAAUAAAUAUUCAUCUUUCAAAUCAAUGUAUCAGGAGCUAAUAUUAGGAAGAAAGAGAACUAUCUGAGUGUUUAUGCAUCUGCUGCAUUUGACUUCAAACUGUGUUAAUGAUCUCAACAAAAUAGGUAAGUGAAAGAACAAUUCAGCAUAUUUUAGAGACAUUUGGUUAUGCCUUCCUGCUAAAGCAAAUACAUUUUGUAACUCAUAAAUAUGAAUUAAUUUAUGACCUCUCAAACGCUAAAUAGUAAAGUUGAAAUUGAAUUGCCAACCUUAUCUCGCACCUUCCUUCUAUUCUGUUGGACCCCUAUCCAACUGAUGUAUCAGUUCAGUCAAUGCUGUAACCACACUAAUAGCCUGCUGCACAAAACUGCCUAUUUCAAUCCAAAUAGUGGAACAACUUUGGGCUGAAUCCAACAAUGAAUCCUGCUCUCUGGGGAGCUUUUCUUUAGGUCUUCUUAUUUCUCUGAGUUCUGUGUCUUGGCAGGUGUUUUGUUGAAUGGUUUAGAUUCUUCAGGGAGAGAGGUAACUGAGGGAAAAAGCAGGAAAGGCUGAGCUUGAUUAGGAAAGGAUAUUGUAUAAAAUCAAAGGGGGAUAAUUUAGACAUUACAUCGGUAUAUAUUCACUCAUUUGCAA
RNAcentral lists this long non-coding RNA (1905 nucleotides) under Homo sapiens (human). RNAcentral describes it as "non-protein coding lnc-CTTNBP2-3:11". Lineage: Eukaryota; Metazoa; Chordata; Mammalia; Primates; Hominidae. The record is from RNAcentral.